Molecule: ribosomal RNA, 385 nt
Filed under: uncultured bacterium
Lineage: Bacteria
Description: bacterial SSU rRNA
Rfam family: Bacterial small subunit ribosomal RNA
Source: RNAcentral
CGAAAGCCUGACGGAGCAAUACCGCGUGAGGGAUGACUGCCUAUGGGUUGUAAACCUCUUUUUUCAGGGAGGAACACAAUGACGUGUACCUGAAGGAUAAGCAUCGGCUAACUCCGUGCCAGCAGCCGCGGUAAGACGGAGGAUGCAAGUGUUAUCCGGAAUCACUGGGCGUAAAGCGUCUGUAGGUGGUUUAAUAAGUCAACUGUUAAAUCUUGAGGCUUAACCUCAAAAUCGCAGUCGAAACUAUUAGACUAGAGUAUAGUAGGGGUAAAGGGAAUUUCCAGUGGAGCGGUGAAAUGCGUAGAUAUUGGAAAGAACACCGAUGGCGAAGGCACUUUACUGGGCUAUUACUGACACUCAGAGACGAAAGCUAGGGUAGCAAAUG